GCCGAUGGGUGCCGUUAAUUGGACAUUUCUGCAGUCGCUGGGCCCUCGCGUGCGGGGGAGACCGUCGGAGUAGCGUUCGCGCGAAAAAUUCGGUCCCUCCGCCCCAGCUUGGGCUCACCUCAAGAGACCGACGGAAGGCACCCUUGGUGGGCGAAAGGGAAUCCGGUUCCAAUUCCGGAACCUGGCUACGGAACCGUUCCAACGGGCCCUCGGACGAAGUGCUCGUCGGGGUAACCGAAAUGAGCCCGGAGACGCCGUCGGGAGGUCCGGGGAGAGUUGUCUCUUCUCUAUAAGCGUUCGGGUUCCCUGGAAUCCUUUAGCAGGGAGAUAGGGAAUGGAGCGCAAAGAGCACCGCAGUUGCAGCGGUGUCCGGAUCUUCCCCUCGGACCUUGAAAAUCCGGGUGAGGGCCACGAGGAACCCCGUGCCAGACCGUACCCAUAUCCGCAGCAGGUCUCCAAGGUCAAUAGCCUCUAGUCGUUAGAAUAAUGUAGGUAAGGGAAGUCGGCAAUCUGGAUCCGUAACCUUGGGAGAAGGAUUGGCUCUGAGGAUCGUGGUGAGCCGGGCUUGGUAGGGAGGCGGGGUUGUGUCAACGAGCCGGGCCUGGGCGAGGUUUGACGCUCUCACGGGCGUCGAGCCCAGCUCGGUCCCGCGCCUUGGCCACCCGCGGACUUUCCUUGCUGCGAGCUGCAGGCUGCUCUAGUUGCCGUCUCUGUGCGGUGGACGGGCCUGCUGUCUCUUCGGCCAUCAUUUAACGGUCAACUCAGAACUGGCACGGACCAGGGGAAUCCGACUGUCUAAUUAAAACAAAGCAUUGCGAAGGCCCUAACGGGUGUUGACGCAAUGUGAUUUCUGCCCAGUGCUCUGAAUGUCAACGUGAAGAAAUUCAAUAAAGCGCGGGUAAACGGCGGGAGUAACUAUGACUCUCUUAAGGUAGCCAAAUGCCUCGUCAUCUAAUUAGUGACGCGCAUGAAUGGAUUAACGAGAUUCCCUCUGUCCCUACCUACUAUCUAGCGAAACCACAGCCAAGGGAACGGGCUUGGAAUAAUCAGCGGGGAAAGAAGACCCUGUUGAGCUUGACUCUAGUCUAGUAGUGUGAAACGUUUUUAGAGGCGUAGAAUAAGUGGGAGACCGCAAGGUCGAUAAUGAAAUACCACUACUUUGAUAAAUGUUUUACUUAUUGAAUGAGAAAGAAGGCGUGAAUAAUGCAAUUCUAGAGAAAGAAGGGAGGAAACAACCUUUGAUCUUGAUUCAAAAUAUUAUUAGAUAGGGAGUUUGGCUGGGGCGGCACAUUUACUAAAUGAUAACGUAAAUGUCCAAAGAUAGACUCAAUAAGAAUAGAAAUCUUAUGUAGAACAAAAAGGUAAAAGUUUAUUUGAUUUUUAUUUUCAGUAUGAAUGUAAACUAUGAAAGUAUGGCUUAUCGAUCCUUUAUGAUAUGAGAGAGAUGAAUAAUCUCUUUUGAUUCAAGU
This 1469-nucleotide ribosomal RNA is filed under the name Hydrometra stagnorum. Its description in RNAcentral is "eukaryotic LSU rRNA". It matches the Rfam family "Eukaryotic large subunit ribosomal RNA", at positions 1555 to 2798 of the family's 3401-position model. The record is from RNAcentral. Lineage: Eukaryota; Metazoa; Arthropoda; Insecta; Hemiptera; Hydrometridae.